Molecule: ribosomal RNA, 239 nt
Filed under: Acinetobacter baumannii
Lineage: Bacteria; Pseudomonadati; Pseudomonadota; Gammaproteobacteria; Moraxellales; Moraxellaceae
Description: partial 16S ribosomal RNA
Rfam family: Bacterial small subunit ribosomal RNA
Source: RNAcentral
UAACUGAAGAGUUUGAUCAUGGCUCAGAUUGAACGCUGGCGGCAGGCUUAACACAUGCAAGUCGAGCGGGGGAAGGUAGCUUGCUACUGGACCUAGCGGCGGACGGGUGAGUAAUGCUUAGGAAUCUGCCUAUUAGUGGGGGACAACAUCUCGAAAGGGAUGCUAAUACCGCAUACGUCCUACGGGAGAAAGCAGGGGAUCUUCGGACCUUGCGCUAAUAGAUGAGCCUAAGUCGGAUU